UGGACCAGCCCGGGAAAUGUUUUAUAUAAAUAAUUACUAACUACGGUAAAAGAGUAAUCAUAUAGUAACCUAGGGCUGAGAGAGAGAAUCCAAGGAGGGACAAACUUGAAGGAAGUGUGGUUCAGCUCACCAAAUAGCAGUGAAGUCUGCUGGUAUGGCCAGGCUGCAGAUGGUCUGGGCUGUUGGGCAAGCAACAGGCCGCCACUCUAGAUGAGAGUGCAAGCGAGGAGCAGGUGAUCAACAGCUGAUACCAUGGGUGUGAGUGAUGGAGGUCCGGGUGCUGGCAAGAGGAGGAGGGAGGGCGCAAGUCAUGCGUGGCUCUGGUUUUUGUGUCACGAGGGCUGUGGACAGGUUAUGGCUAGGCUAAGGCUGCAGGUUUGCAGAGGGCCUGUGGUUUGGGCUCGAUGCUGGGGCAGGCUUCACCGGAUGUCCUCCCACUCACGCCACCAAUAGGUCUAAGAGCAGCUUCCUCCCACAGUGUCCCUCUCGCGCCCUCUACUGGAAUUCCGUUAGCACAGAGCGUAAGUGCUUUAGGAGCUGAGGCACAAAUUGGUAACUGACAUAGUACCCCAGCCCAGUAAAGGAGAUCUGGAUGGGACACCAACUGCACCUACUAAUACCCACUCUGCACAGUUUCUGCUUCUCGAAAAUAGCGGUAACAUCCAGUAUACAAAGUUGUUGUGCAGAUUAAGUGAGAUUUUGUACAGCACCAAGCACAGUGCCUGGCAUACGGAUUGGAUUUGGCAAAUCAGAGCAGAAGAAGGCCUCACAAUGGAGAAAACAAAGAUGAGUAAAUACAGAUAUCAGGCUUGGCAGAAUCUGCAAGAAGACUAGAGGAAGAUGCAAACUGAAAAAAGAAAAGGAGGACACGGAAGAUCUGAGCUAAAGGAUCAAAAAGCAGGCAAGUCCAAUUACAAGACUCCAGUGCUUCUGCAAGAUGUGACCACUGCUAUAAACCACUGCCAUCCGUGCUGGACCAUGGCUCCUAACCAGCCCUACUUUCCUGGUCACUAGCUCCAGAAUCAACGUCUCAGGCUGCAACAUCUAAUUGGCUGAGCUUGGGUCACGUGCUAUGUCCCGGCUCCUGGGGAAUUCUCAGGAAGAUGGAGCAUCGUUCCCUUUCACUUUUGUAGUGAGAGGCAAAACACUGCAGCACACCAAUCUGAUACUCAGUGGUAAAUUCCGCCCAAAUACAAAGGGAGCAAUAGGUGCUCCACUGUCAAAUGAUAGAGCAAACGUCUAGAGCUGUCUGCGUGUUGAGACACACGGGAGCUUCUCUGUUCGGUAUGGAGAAUAGAUGGGCUAAGACUCCACAUCUGAUUUAUCUAUUCUGUCAGCGUGAAAGUACCUUGAGGAAGAAGAAGGCUGUGGGAAUCUAGGGGGAAAAAAGCCCUACUGCCAGAACCAAGCAGUUCUGUUGUGGUAUCCCUUCUAAAAAGGCAGAACAGGGCAGAGAAAGGAACAUUUCACAACUAGUAAAAGGAAUGAACACGCUGGAGCCUUGGAACCGCAGGAGGCUGGGCAGGGCCAGCGAGUGGGUACAAGGGUAGGUGAUGACAGCGGGGAAUAGGCUUGGGGGUCAGGGAGUUCCCUGGAAGCCUCAAGCUGGCAAAAGAGGAUGUAAACGUUCCUAUGAUCAUAGCUGGUGAGGCUCAGGGAAACACUUGAUUAUAGGAGUUACUGGCAUUUUCCCCUAAAAUAUACCAUGUCUUAUUAAUCACUUUUACUAUCACUUUCAGUUUUGAUGACCUUCCUCAUAAAGCUUUUAAUCUACCCUGAAAGGGGGCCUCCUAUUCCUUUUUAUCUAACUUUUUAAAAUAAUUGGACAAUCUCACCUCUUAACAAAGCAUUCCCUGACCUAAACCAACCCAUAUUGUUUUCUCCAUUAUCUAAAUUCUUAACGCUUUUACCACACAAUUUAGUACUUAAAAUCAACUACUGUCUAUAACCUUCUCUAGCUGUUUCUGACCCAUAAGACUUGUCCCUCCAACAAUGUGGGGCCCUCUGAAGAAACUGUAUCAACAGACUUUGAAAUUCCCUAACUCUAUAAUAGAUGCUUAAUAAACACAUCUUUCAUCAAGGGUUUGAUCAUGAUGGAGUGGAAAGAAAACAGAAAUGAGAUGGUCUGGAUUAAGCCCGUCCCACAAUGGUUAUGGGAUAAACUGUUCCUUCAACUUUUGGUCAUUAUUUCCUUAUCAAUAAAGAAGGGACAAUAGAGAUGAUGAAGAUAAAAAUACCAUCACCAAUCCCUAGCUCAAAAUGUUAUCAAGAGCUAAUAAAAAUACAGCAAAACACUUUCAAACGUUAAACCACUGCAUUAUAAAAAUACUAGUUUUGAAUGCACACUAUUACCUACUAUUAGCAUCAAACAAAAGCAAUUUCCCCAGCAGAAUUUCAAAUGCUAUAGCAGGUUAUAGACAGAAUAUAUUUCUGGAAAUUGAGGCCAUUCUAUCUUGCUUCAAAAUAUGUCAUAUAGAUAGUUGUAAUUUUGCUUUUAAACUUACUCUACUGUCUUUUCCUGUCCUGAUACGGUCCAUGUAAGCCCAUUACAUCUUAGCCAAAUUGCUGCAUAGUCUCUUCACACCACCUCCCUUCACAAUGACAGCACCCUAUAUUUAUACAGAACUUUACAGUUUACAGAACACUUUCACACCUACUGUCUCAUUUGAUCUUUGCACACACACAAACAACAACUACAAGAGAAAAGUGUUAAUACUUAAUAAGCUCCCCAAAAUGUUUGAAGCUUUAAAGUUAAAGCAAAAUUUCUUCAGUGAAACAGCUCUUUCUUUGAGGAGUCCCUUUUGCUCUAGCAUAAUUAUCCCCAAUUUAAUACUCAGUACUUAAGACAACAAUCUGAAAGCUUUUAGGGCUAAUUUUACAACUUUUUAAUAUCUUGAUCCAAAAUUUAAAUUGGAUAAGUUCUAUAGCUACCUGUACCUUCUAUGGCACCUGAUAUUUAUAUAAUACUUCACAGUUUACAGAACAUUUUCAUAUCUACCAUCUCAUUUGAAUUUGCACACACGUAAAGGUCAAGACACAAGGUCAAAAUUAUGGCUUAUUUAUUCAUCUUUGUAUCUCUUGGGACUAAAACAGUGCCUGGUGCCUAUGAGAUAUUGAACAAAUGUUUGUUUAAUUAAAUGUGAAGGAAGAGGAGGAAGAACAAGAUGAAGGAAAGGGACAAAAUGAUAUGCCUCAAAAGCAAGGAGAGAUCAGUGUCCAUGGAGAUACAGAAGAUUAUUUUUAUUCCUCCCUGUGCAAAGACUUCACUAAAUUACAUUAAUAUUCAAUUCUCACACAUACACUUUGUGUUGAGCACUAAAUUACAGGUUUUGCAAAGAGAGGACUUAUUAAAUAUUGGAAUUAGAAGAUGUUCUCUUUACUAUUUUUAAAAUUGGCAUAUGUUUAAGAACCUAAAACUUUCAGUCAAAUUGGGAAUGAAAAUAACCCUUGCAUGAGAUCGGCCUAGGCUUCCCAAGUAAAACUCUUUCUCUCAUUAUUGCUGCUUUAAAAUGAAAAAGUUUCAGUGCCUCUACAAAUGACUCUUUCUAAAAGGUGAUGUGGAAAUCUUAAAUCUUUUAUGACAAUCAGUAGCAAUCCUGCACUUAAAACAGUAAAAAAAGGUGAAGAAUAAUGCUUCUAAUAAUAUUUGAUUGGCUUAAAUUUGCAGCAAGUUUGCAGAUCAUUUCUAAAUAUACCUGCUACAAGUAUUUCACACUGAAAAUAACAUAAGUAGUCAUCUCUUUUAUUGGAAUCAGACUGAGCGAAAAUAAAUAUGAUGGAUCAAAUUCAACCACAAACCCAAGCCAACUCCGUAGAAAGCUGAAAAGGAAAAAUAAAAUCAAUUACACAAAAUGAAUGAAUCAUUUAUUUAACCAGAGACAUUUUACGUCAAUAAUAAAAGAAAUGUGGUCUUCUUAAAUCAUGAUGGAGGAGAGCUGAGAGAAUAAAUCUCUUCACUCCCCAAAUCCCUUUGAAAAAGACAAACGGGGAAAUAAAGGAAAACACAAAAGAGCACUGGAAAUUUGGGACAAUUAUGAAUUCCAUGGAAGAUAUAAAGCAGAUGACAAUAGACUGAUGUCAAAAUCUAACUGAGUUAUGAUUAUCUCAACCAGAGAAGACCCUAAGAUAAAGGCAUUCUUUGAAGAAGAAUUGGAUCAUAGGCAGUCAAGAGAAAAAUUACAGUGCGUAAGAACAUAGAGACAGUAGCUGACUUUUGCUUCCUGAAAAAAAAAAAACAAAAACAGACAUGUUUAAAUUUUGUAAUUUAAAAAUACUUUUCAAUAGACAGUUUAUU
Equus caballus (horse) is the source of this 4294-nucleotide long non-coding RNA. RefSeq lists it as uncharacterized. Lineage: Eukaryota; Metazoa; Chordata; Mammalia; Perissodactyla; Equidae. The record is from RefSeq and is a predicted model, not a curated record.